Molecule: long non-coding RNA, 548 nt
Filed under: Homo sapiens (human)
Lineage: Eukaryota; Metazoa; Chordata; Mammalia; Primates; Hominidae
Description: HSALNT0269241
Source: RNAcentral
AUAGUAUAGAUGCUGGAUAUAUGAAGAUAAAGCAACAGAAUAGACCUCUGCCUGGAGGAGCAGUGCUCCUCCACAUACAUCCUGGGGCCUCCUUUCCUGCAAUGCAUAGUACAUUCCAGAUGAAUGGAGAGGACUCCAGACCGAGAGGCCAAGUGUACUGGAUGCACGGAGCCUGGAUUUCUGAACAACUGCAUGGCAAGCACUUCCUGAAGGUGCACCUAACAAGGAAUACUGUGGUGUCAAGAAUGUGGACGCUUGAAUUCAAUCUAUCUACUGAAGAUUAUCUGUUUGCCAGCAGCCCCACCUUGCACCACUUUUAGAAUCAGUGAACUCUCUGGGGGAUAUUUUUUUAAAAAUUAACUGAUGUAUUUAAUUAGAGAAACAGAAUAAAGAUAUUUUUCAAAAAUAAUGCAUACAAUUACUCAAAAUUCUAGACAUGACAUUUGUGCUGUUGAUUUGCUGAACAGCACAGUUGAUAAUCAGAAAAUUUGGACCCCCUCGCUGUCGACUUAGAACAAUGUCGUUUCUUAGGGUGACAGCAGAAUGGA